Ictidomys tridecemlineatus (thirteen-lined ground squirrel) is the source of this 69-nucleotide non-coding RNA. The record is from Rfam. NCBI's taxonomy places the organism in Eukaryota, Metazoa, Chordata, Mammalia, Rodentia, Sciuridae.
GGAGCGGUGAUGACACCAACAUGCCAUCUGAAUGCCAUGUGCUGAAAAACAGAGGCUGUUUCUGAGCUG